RNAcentral lists this ribosomal RNA (517 nucleotides) under uncultured fungus. RNAcentral's name for it is "eukaryotic LSU rRNA". The stretch from base 148 to 302 matches the Rfam family "5.8S ribosomal RNA". The record is from RNAcentral. Lineage: Eukaryota; Fungi.
AAGUCGUAACAAGGUAUCCGUAGGGUGAACCUGCGGGUGGAUCAUUAACAGUAUUAUUCUAUACUUUAACACUUGUGAACCGUAUGAGAGUCUCUCUCUCAAUUUAUUAUACUAUUAGACUGAAACCACUUUAUAUAACAAUUAUAAAACUUUUAGCAACGGAUCUCUGGGCUCUCGCAACGAUGAAGAACGCAGCGAAUUGCGAAAAGUAAUGUGAAUUGCAUAUACCCGUGAAUCAUCAAAUCUUUUGAACGCACCUUGCACCAUUGGGAACUCCCGAUGGUACGUCUGUUUGAGUAUCAAUCAACACCUGCAAACUUUGCUUUUAACCGAGCCAUACUUUGCAUAUCGAUUGGAUAGUUUUAUUACUACCGAUUUAGAUACAUAGUCUAGCCACGCUAGGUCAACAGAGUUUAACACUUCUGAGUGACGAAUGUAGUAGCAUGACUGGGGCUUCUUGAAGUCUUUAACUUUGAUCUCAAAUCAGACCGAGGAUACCCGCUGAACUUAAGCAUAU